Molecule: ribosomal RNA, 472 nt
Filed under: Plectostoma cookei
Lineage: Eukaryota; Metazoa; Mollusca; Gastropoda; Architaenioglossa; Diplommatinidae
Description: Opisthostoma cookei partial 16S ribosomal RNA
Rfam family: Bacterial large subunit ribosomal RNA
Source: RNAcentral
CUGCAGUAUCCUGACUGUGCGAAGGUAGCAUAAUAAUUUGUCUUUUAAUUGAAGGAUGGAAUGAAUGGUUAGAUGAAAAUAAGACUGUCUCAUGUAUAUUUAUUAAAAGUUGAUUUUUAGGUUAAAAAGCCUAAAUUAAAUUAAAGGACGAGAAGACCCUAUUAAGCUUUAAAAAGUGUUAUAAUUGUUAUUAUAUUAUUAGAUGUGAUAUUGGAUUAAUUAUUUUAGUUGGGGCGACUUGGGAGCAAAAUAAACCUCCUUUGUAUUAAUUAAAAUUUGAUUUGUGGUCCAAAAGAUUUUGAGGUAAAAACAAGUUACUAUAGGGAUAACAGCGUAAUUUUAUUUGAGAGUUCUAAUCGAAAAUAAAGUUUGCGACCUCGAUGUUGGAUUAAGAGGUAAUGGAGGUUGCAGAAGCUUUCAUAACUAGUCUGUUCGACUAUUAAUAUCUUACAUGAUCUGAGUUCAAACCGGA